GGCCGGUUAGCUCAGUUGGUUAGAGCGUCGUGCUAAUAGCGCGAAUGUCGUGGGUUCGAUCCCCAUACUGGCCA
This 74-nucleotide transfer RNA is filed under the name Hydra vulgaris (swiftwater hydra). It matches the Rfam family "tRNA". Rfam says of the family: Transfer RNA (tRNA) molecules are approximately 80 nucleotides in length. Their secondary structure includes four short double-helical elements and three loops (D, anti-codon, and T loops). The record is from Rfam by way of RNAcentral. Lineage: Eukaryota; Metazoa; Cnidaria; Hydrozoa; Anthoathecata; Hydridae.